This 1081-nucleotide ribosomal RNA is filed under the name Kocuria palustris. RNAcentral describes it as "bacterial SSU rRNA". It matches the Rfam family "Bacterial small subunit ribosomal RNA", at positions 56 to 1145 of the family's 1533-position model. Lineage: Bacteria; Bacillati; Actinomycetota; Actinomycetes; Micrococcales; Micrococcaceae. The record is from RNAcentral.
UGCAGUCGAACGCUGAAGCACCAGCUUGCUGGUGUGGAUGAGUGGCGAACGGGUGAGUAAUACGUGAGUAACCUGCCCUUGACUCUGGGAUAAGCCCGGGAAACUGGGUCUAAUACUGGAUGCUACAUGUCACCGCAUGGUGGUGUGUGGAAAGGGUUUACUGGUCUUGGAUGGGCUCACGGCCUAUCAGCUUGUUGGUGAGGUAAUGGCUCACCAAGGCGACGACGGGUAGCCGGCCUGAGAGGGUGACCGGCCACACUGGGACUGAGACACGGCCCAGACUCCUACGGGAGGCAGCAGUGGGGAAUAUUGCACAAUGGGCGAAAGCCUGAUGCAGCGACGCCGCGUGAGGGAUGACGGCCUUCGGGUUGUAAACCUCUUUCAGCAGGGAAGAAGCCACAAGUGACGGUACCUGCAGAAGAAGCGCCGGCUAACUACGUGCCAGCAGCCGCGGUAAUACGUAGGGCGCAAGCGUUGUCCGGAAUUAUUGGGCGUAAAGAGCUCGUAGGCGGUUUGUCGCGUCUGCUGUGAAAGCCCGGGGCUUAACCCCGGGUGUGCAGUGGGUACGGGCAGACUAGAGUGCAGUAGGGGAGACUGGAAUUCCUGGUGUAGCGGUGGAAUGCGCAGAUAUCAGGAGGAACACCGAUGGCGAAGGCAGGUCUCUGGGCUGUUACUGACGCUGAGGAGCGAAAGCAUGGGGAGCGAACAGGAUUAGAUACCCUGGUAGUCCAUGCCGUAAACGUUGGGCACUAGGUGUGGGGGACAUUCCACGUUUUCCGCGCCGUAGCUAACGCAUUAAGUGCCCCGCCUGGGGAGUACGGCCGCAAGGCUAAAACUCAAAGGAAUUGACGGGGGCCCGCACAAGCGGCGGAGCAUGCGGAUUAAUUCGAUGCAACGCGAAGAACCUUACCAAGGCUUGACAUAUACCGGAUCGUUCCAGAGAUGGUUCUUCCCCUUUGGGGUCGGUAUACAGGUGGUGCAUGGUUGUCGUCAGCUCGUGUCGUGAGAUGUUGGGUUAAGUCCCGCAACGAGCGCAACCCUCGUUCCAUGUUGCCAGCACGUGAUGGUGGGGACUCAUGGG